AUUGAACGCUGGCGGCAGGCCUAACACAUGCAAGUCGAACGGGUGGCGGACGGGCGGGUAAUGUAUGGGCAACUGCCUAAUGGAGGGGGAUAAGUACUGGAAACGGUGGCUACAAGCGCAUACCGUCGGAUGUGGCCAGGUGGGAGUAGCGAGUGGGUGGGGUAAAGGCUCACCUAGGCGACGCUGCCUAGCUGGUCUGAGAGGAUGACCAGCCACACUGGAACUGAGACACGGUCCAGACUCCUACGGGAGGCAGCAGUGGGGAAUAUUGAGCAAUGGGCGAAAGUCUGAUGCAGCCAGGCCGCGUGUAUGAAGAAGGCCUUCGGGUUGUAAAGCACUUUCGGCAGGGAGGCGGUAUCCGAAGAAGAAGCACCGGCUAACUCCGUGCCAGCAGCCGCGGUAAUUC
This 406-nucleotide ribosomal RNA is filed under the name uncultured bacterium. RNAcentral's name for it is "partial 16S ribosomal RNA". It matches the Rfam family "Bacterial small subunit ribosomal RNA", at positions 29 to 526 of the family's 1533-position model. The record is from RNAcentral.